CUCACAAAGUGGCUGUUGUAUGUUGUUUUCUUCCAUAUCACAGCCAGCUUUGAUGAGUG
This 59-nucleotide microRNA precursor is filed under the name Centruroides sculpturatus (bark scorpion). RNAcentral describes it as "Csc-Mir-2-P3n_pre stem-loop". Lineage: Eukaryota; Metazoa; Arthropoda; Arachnida; Scorpiones; Buthidae. The record is from RNAcentral.